AUGCAAGGCAUGGCCCAACUACCCCCAUUUAUUGGUAGAGGAAAUAAUCAAUUCUGUGACAUGAAAGAAUUUAUCUCUAAAUAUGAAAAGGAGAUUUCAGAACAAUGUGAGCCGUUCAUGCACACACGUGCAUGCACACCCACACGUGGGGACUGGGAUCAUGCACACACAUGGAAACCAGAUCAUGCACACACAUACAUGGAGACCAGGGUCAUGUGCACACACACACAUGCACACCCACACGUGGAGACUGGGGUCAUACAAACACACACAUGGAAACCGGAUCAUGUACACACACACGUGGAGACUGGAGUCAUGCACACCCACACAUGGAGACCAGAUCAUGCACAUACACACGUGGAGACCAGGGUCAUGUACACGCACACAUGGAGACCAGAUCGUGCACACAUACACAUGCGGAGACCGGGGUCAUGCACACCCACACAUGGAGACCAAAUCGUGCACACAUACACAUGUGGAGACUGGGGUCAUGCAUACACACACAUGGAAACUGGAUCAUGCACACACACACAUGGAAACUGGGGUCAUGCACACCCACACAUGGAGACUGGGGUAAUGCACACCCACACAUGGAGACCAGAUCGUGCACACACACAUGUGGAAACUGGAUCAUGCACACACACGUGGAGACCGGAUCAUGCACACCCACACAUGGAGACUGGGGUCAUGCACACAUACAUGUGGAAACUGGAUAAGGCACACACACACGUGGAGACCGGGGUCAUGUGCAUGCACACACACACACGUGGAGACUGGGGUCAUGCACACAUAUGCACACCCACACAUGAAGACUGGAGUCAUGCAAACACGUGGAAACCGGAUCAUGCACACACACACACACACACGUGGAGACUGGGGUCAUGCAAACACACAGGUGGAGACAAGAUCAUGCACACACACACGUGGAGACUGGGGUCAUGCACACACACACAUGGAAACUGGAUCAUGCACACACACACGUGGAGACUGGGGUCAUGCACACCCACACAUAGAGACCAGGGUCAUGUGCACACACACACAUGCAGAUCCACACUUGGAGACUGCGGUCAUGUACACAUAUGCACACCCACACAUGUAGACCAGGGUCAUGCAAACACACAUGUGGAAACUGGAUCUUGCACACAUACACACGUGGAGACCAAAGUCAUGCACACCCACACAUGGAGACCUGAUCAUGCACACACACACGUGGAGACUGAGGUCACGCACACAUGUGGAAACCGGAUCAUGCACACACACACACGGAGACCAGGGUCACGCACACCCACACAUGGAGACCGGGGUCAUGCACACACACACGUGGGGACCAGGGUCAUGCACACACACAUAUGGAGACCAGGGUCACGCACACACACUCACGCAUGCCCACACGUGGAGACCAGGGUCUGGAAGCAUAGCCUUCAAAACGUUAACCAGUUCCACCACUAG
RNAcentral lists this long non-coding RNA (1449 nucleotides) under Papio anubis (olive baboon). RNAcentral's name for it is "lncRNA (ENSPANG00000046817.1)". The record is from RNAcentral. Lineage: Eukaryota; Metazoa; Chordata; Mammalia; Primates; Cercopithecidae.